AAAAAGGCAAACCCUGGGUUUCCGUGUCCAACGACUGUCCGUCUUAUAUGAAAAUUUUUUAUAAUUCGUAUUUUCAUUGUUGUUAGAUGAUAAAACAUGAUUAAUAUUUUAUGCGUGACUUGUCUUUUUAUUUUUUUCAUAUUUUUUUCAAAUAAGACGAACGGUCAAACGUUGGGCACGAAAACCAGGGUUUGUCUUUUU
This is a microRNA precursor of Oryza rufipogon (brownbeard rice), 201 nucleotides long. It matches the Rfam family "MIR812 microRNA precursor family". NCBI's taxonomy places the organism in Eukaryota, Viridiplantae, Streptophyta, Magnoliopsida, Poales, Poaceae. The record is from Rfam.